CGGGGGGCAGCAGUGAGGAAUAUUGGUCAAUGGGCGCAAGCCUGAACCAGCCAUGCCGCGUGCAGGAAGAAUGUCCUAUGGAUUGUAAACUGCUUUUAUUUGGGAAUAAACCCCCCGACGUGUCGGGGUCUGAAGGUACCAAAUGAAUAAGCACCGGCUAACUCCGUGCCAGCAGCCGCGGUAAUACGGAGGGUGCAAGCGUUAUCCGGAAUCAUUGGGUUUAAAGGGUCCGCAGGCGGGCAUAUAAGUCAGUGGUGAAAGCCUACAGCUCAACUGUAGAACUGCCAUUGAUACUGUAAGUCUUGAAUUCGGUCGAAGUGGGCGGAAUGUGUAGUGUAGCGGUGAAAUGCAUAGAUAUUACACAGAACACCGAUAGCGAAGGCAGCUCACUAGGCCUGGAUUGACGCUCAGGGACGAAAGCGUGGGGAUCAAACAGGAUUAGAUACCCGAGU
RNAcentral lists this ribosomal RNA (452 nucleotides) under uncultured Fluviicola sp. Its description in RNAcentral is "bacterial SSU rRNA". It matches the Rfam family "Bacterial small subunit ribosomal RNA", at positions 342 to 791 of the family's 1533-position model. Lineage: Bacteria; Pseudomonadati; Bacteroidota; Flavobacteriia; Flavobacteriales; Crocinitomicaceae. The record is from RNAcentral.